GGAUCCAGACUUUGAUUCUGGCUCAGGAUGAACGCUAGCUACAGGCUUAACACAUGCAAGUCGAGGGGCAGCAUGGUCUUAGCUUGCUAAGGCCGAUGGCGACCGGCGCACGGGUGAGUAACACGUAUCCAACCUGCCGUCUACUCUUGGGCAGCCUUCUGAAAGGAAGAUUAAUACAAGAUGGCAUCAUGAGUCCACAUGUUCACAUGAUUAAAGGUAUUCCGGUAGACGAUGGGGAUGCGUUCCAUUAGAUAGUAGGCGGGGUAACGGCCCACCUAGUCUUCGAUGGAUAGGGGUUCUGAGAGGAAGGUCCCCCACAUUGGAACUGAGACACGGUCCAAACUCCUACGGGAGGCAGCAGUGAGGAAUAUUGGUCAAUGGGCGAGAGCCUGAACCAGCCAAGUAGCGUGAAGGAUGACUGCCCUAUGGGUUGUAAACUUCUUUUAUAAAGGAAUAAAGUCGGGUAUGCAUACCCGUUUGCAUGUACUUUAUGAAUAAGGAUCGGCUAACUCCGUGCCAGCAGCCGCGGUAAUACGGAGGAUCCGAGCGUUACCCGGAUUUAUUGGGUUUAAAGGGAGCGUAGAUGGAUGUUUAAGUCAGUUGUGAAAGUUUGCGGCUCAACCGUAAAAUUGCAGUUGAUACUGGAUAUCUUGAGUGCAGUUGAGGCAGGCGGAAUUCGUGGUGUAGCGGUGAAAUGCUUAGAUAUCACGAAGAACUCCGAUUGCGAAGGCAGCCUGCUAAGCUGCAACUGACAUUGAGGCUCGAAAGUGUGGGUAUCAAACAGGAUUAGAUACCCUGGUAGUCCACACGGUAAACGAUGAAUACUCGCUGUUUGCGAUAUACAGCAAGCGGCCAAGCGAAAGCGUUAAGUAUUCCACCUGGGGAGUACGCCGGCAACGGUGCAACUCAAAGGAAUUGACGG
RNAcentral lists this ribosomal RNA (922 nucleotides) under uncultured Bacteroidota bacterium. RNAcentral's name for it is "bacterial SSU rRNA". It matches the Rfam family "Bacterial small subunit ribosomal RNA", at positions 1 to 916 of the family's 1533-position model. The record is from RNAcentral. Lineage: Bacteria; Pseudomonadati; Bacteroidota.